UACGGAGGGGGUUAGCGUUGUUCGGAAUUACUGGGCGUAAAGCGCACGUAGGCGGAUUAGUCAGUCAGAGGUGAAAUCCCAGGGCUCAACCUGGAACUGCCUUUGAUACUGCUAGUCUUGAGUUCGAGAGAGGUGAGUGGAAUUCCGAGUGUAGAGGUGAAAUUCGUAGAUAUUCGGAGGAACACCAGUGGCGAAGGCGGCUCACUGGCUCGAUACUGACGCUGAGGUGCGAAAGUGU
This 238-nucleotide ribosomal RNA is filed under the name uncultured bacterium. RNAcentral describes it as "partial 16S ribosomal RNA". It matches the Rfam family "Bacterial small subunit ribosomal RNA", at positions 524 to 762 of the family's 1533-position model. The record is from RNAcentral.